Molecule: long non-coding RNA, 562 nt
Organism: Pan troglodytes (chimpanzee)
Lineage: Eukaryota; Metazoa; Chordata; Mammalia; Primates; Hominidae
Exons: 3
Source: RefSeq, a predicted model, not a curated record
CAUGACAACCAGCAUCCAUCCCAAGAGUUGCCUCUGAAUAAGCCAAAGUUGGAGGGGCCUCGUUCGAGAAUCUAAGUGGAGUCAAAGUUCUGCUUCACCAAGGCCCACAAAAUGGAGACUUGCUUUUUCACACAUGGCCUGACUUCCUUCCUUCCCAGCACACCUGCCUGCCAAAUCUCAUCCCUACCUCUGCCUGAGGCCUCCAGAUGUUAGUAGUGAUGGAUGGAAACAGGACCAGGACUGAAUCCAUACGUGGUCACAGCACCACUGCCCCUGGUUCCUGGAGGCAGCCUGGAGAGGAAGCUUUAUUCCUCAUUAGUGAGAGAGCUGAUGGCUACAUGUUGACAUGAAGGACUCCUUUUGUUGUAUUCAACAUAAAGCCCCUUUCCCCAAACUCUUACUCUGGUUUCUUUAUUUUCCUACUCCCUCUACUACCUCCAACUCUUUUUCUUUUCUUUCUUUCUUUCUUUUUUUUUUUUUGCUGGAACUUUAUUGUGGUAUAAUUUACUUAACAAAGUUUACUCAUUUCAAGUGUGUGAUUCUCAGUACAUUUAAAAUUGAG